RNAcentral lists this long non-coding RNA (9283 nucleotides) under Solanum tuberosum (potato). RNAcentral describes it as "long non-coding RNA (STUB_LNC010322)". Lineage: Eukaryota; Viridiplantae; Streptophyta; Magnoliopsida; Solanales; Solanaceae. The record is from RNAcentral.
CCUGGCCAAUGCAUUCAGAUCAACCAAGGAAUUCUCAGCUGGUAACAAAGGUCCUGAAAACUGGCCUAACUGUGAGGCAUUGGGCACGUCGGGAUGAAUUGGUUGCAUCAGAAAUAGUUGAAAAUGCUGUGAGAACUUUGAUGGCUUCACCUGAGGGAGAUGAGAUGAGGAAGAGAGCAUCAGAAUUAAGCAUUGCUGUCAAACAAUCAGUCAUGGAUGGGGAAGGUUACGGUGCGGAGAUGAAUUCUUUUAUCGCACACAUUACUCGAGAACUUUCUCACCAGAAUUGACCAAUUGAUAGCAUAAGUGGUUCAACCUAUGAGACUUUAUCAAUGCUCUAUCACCAUCUGAGUGGGUUCAGUGUCCCCUUUUAUGCACAUCACUGCAUGUAUGUUUAAGGAUAAAAAGCUUUUCUUUAUGAGUUCCUUAUAUUUUUUAGUAUAAAUGUAAAGGUCCUCCUUUACUAGCAACUAGUUCUUUUGGCCAGAGAUAUAAAAUAUUAGAAGCUGUUUGUGUAAUCUUUCAAGAACUUUUUGCUUGUGACUACUGAGUGAUAUACUAUGUAUUUUCCAUUCUGCCAGACUUCUCAUCUUGUUAAGUGUAAUUUACAUUAUUUUCUCAACAUUAAUACUACUCAUAUUUUGCAUCUAGACAAAUAAGGAAGAGAUACGGUAAGCUUUCUUGAGAGAUUAGAUUUGAAAUUGCAAUUUGCUCUGUUGCAAAAGGAGCUGUAAAAGGGGGAAAAUCAGAAGAGUUUGAUAUAAGGUAUCUACUUUGAUCUGUAUUUCAGAUUUAGUGGUAACUGUGGAACAUAUUCAAUUCCUUGACCAAGUAAGAUUGCUAAAGUAUUUUUGAAUCUUUUGUGUCUUACAUUCUAAAAAAAACCUAAAAUACAGGAAAUGUUAGGGGUGCGUCCUUUUUCCGCAUCUUGCUAAGGGGGAUUUUGGGGCACCGAAUUUCUCUUCCUUUAUGUUUCAGUGUGGGUUAGUUUAGUCCAUAUUUCAAAUUUGAGACCUCAAAAGAUUACCUGCUUAAUCAACUAUAGUUAUAUGUAUGCUUCAUAAGUGACAAAACAUAAAUAAUUAAUGGUGUAUGCUAUUAUUAUAUUUAACAAAAAACAACAUCGUUCGUUAUAGUACAUGAUACUUGAGUUUUCCAAAGUGAAUAGAAAAAUGGUAUAUGUGAAGCAAUAAUUAGUCAUGUGUUUCAUUUUAUGUGUUACUAGCUAGCUAUCAAAAUUGACACUUAUAGCAUUGACUAAUUUAAGUUGCAACCAAAACCCACUAUUAGUGGCAACCAUUAUAGGGAUUACCGAUGAUCAAAAUAGCAGGUAAAAACAUACUUUCAUCUGAAACUUAAAUAAGAAUAAGCAACAACUGCAUAUACCCCUAAUAUUGACAUUUAGUGGCGAGAAAUUUUGCCACAGAAACAAGAUACUAGCAACGACUAAUUUUGUCACUAAAACAUUCUUUUAUUGGCGACUAUUAUAGGUAUUAGCAACUACUUAUUUUGCCACUAAAACAUUCUUUUAUUGGCGCCUAUUAUGAGCAUUAGCGGCGAUUAUUCUUGCCACUAAAACAAACUAUUAGUGGCGACUAUUAUAUGUAUUAGCAGCGACAGCUUUUGCCACUAAAACAUUAUUUUAGUGGCCACUAGUAUAGGUAUUACAACGACUAAUUUUGCCACCAAACAUUCUUUUAGUGCCGACUAUUAUGAGUAUUAGCGGCGAUUAUUCUUUUCACUAAAACAAACUAUUAGUGGCGACUAUUAUAUGUAUUAGCAGCGACUAAGUAGUGACUUUUCCGUAAAAUUUGUGACUUUUAAGAAGGGUAAAAUAAAUAAGAAUCUUGAUUUGUGACGGCGUCGCAUAGGCAGGUCGGCUGUUGUAAACAAAUGCACGUUUAUGAAGAGUGGCAAGAGUGGUAACAAAAUGAACGGAAAAAGCAGCGGUUGAAGGCUGAAACUACGUUCCUAUUGUUGAGGGGGAAGGACAGUUUUGGAAAUAAAUAAAUAAAAAAAGAAUCCUUACUUCUAGUGGCGCGACGUCACCGGGUUGAGGGUUCUCUUUUAUAUAUAUAUAUAUAUAUUCUUUAAUUUAAUAUAAUUUUAUUUUAUUUUGAAAUUAAUGAUCUGAAACAAAUCUUAGAAAUUUGUGUAGCGAUAAAUUAUUUCAAUUAAGAAUAAAAGAAAAAAAUUAAAGUUAAAAUAUGCCUAAUUAUAGAAAGGUGACAACUUUUUUUUUGUCACGAAUUAAAAAGAAAAAUAUGUCACAUUAAUUUGAACAAAUAAAGUAUACAACAAUUUCAUUAUUUUUUAGAAAAUAAAUGAUACUAACGUUUAACUUUCUUUUUUUAAUAAAAUAAAAUAAAACGCAAAUAGUAAAGAGAUUUUGUGGAUCUCCCACCAAACGUUUUCUUCAAAGUUGAAUCAUGUAGUUGAAAAUGGAUUAUAUAAUUUAAUGUUUAUUUAUAGGUGCAUUAGAGCAUUAAGAUGAGGUAAUUAUUCGGUGUAUUUUUAAAAUCAGCUUAUUUAAAAAAAAUAAAAAAUUAUUCGGUGUAUUUUAAAAAAAUACUUUUUGGAAGUAUCAGUUUAUUUGAAUAAUCAAUUUGAAAAAUAUUUAUAUUAAAACUAAAACAAUUAGUAUUCGACCAAAAUUCUAAAAGUGUUUCGAAGGUUAAAAACUAUUUCGCUUCAAGGAAAACCAACUUCUACUUUAGAUGAAAACACAUAUAUUUUUCCCAGAAGCUUUGAUCAAACACUUCAAUUCUCUAAGUGGACUCUAAAGAAGGUGAUAUGUUUGCAGUCUUAUAACUACUAUGUGAAAGAUAGAAAUAUUGUUAUCGAUAUACCUUGACUCAAGUAAAAUAUAUAAAAAUCAAGUAUCUUGAGAACUUAUUUCUAAUAAAUCCUCGGCUCAACUCUUUAAAAUAACCACAUAUUUUAUUUUAAGAAAUUCCCGACUCAACUUUCUAAAAUAAUCAUUCUUUCUUUAGAAAAAAAACUUCUUAUUUCAUUGAAACUUGACCAGACAGACUAUAAAUUAGUAUUACCUAAUUGGUGAAGAUAUCUAGAAUUUCCUUUUGUGAUAACAUCAAAUAAUGGAGAAACUACAACAACUGCUUAAUAUGGACAAAAACUGAAAAGAAAGUCUAUAAUGUCUGCUCCCAUAACAAACAUAUUAGUAUUUUGUCCUAUGAUAGAAGAUUCUAAUAAUAAAAUAAUGAAGAUCUACAAAUUAUAUAUAUUUGGAUUUUUUUACAAUGAGGAUGAUGAUAUUUUUCUUUGGUAGCUAACAACAUAUUUGUAAAUAACAUGCCAUUAUGGUUAUUAUUCAGUGAAUUUCUCGAUAAAUAUACAAAGUUUAGACUAAAGUUAUUGAGUUUUGCUGAACAUUGCGGCAAGAACAUGGGAAAGAGUAUGUAAUCAACUCAAUAUUGACUCUCUCCAGUCUCCUUUAGCACAAAACUCAAAAGAAAAACUAAGAAGCUGCAGUCCAAACAUAUAGUAUGUUAAUAUUUGAAUUGUGAACAUACAAAAGUAUGUUUUCUACAUAAAUUCAUAGUAUAGAGAAUUGAGGGUAUAACUUUUUUCGUAACCACUUGUCGGUAGUUCUACAACACAAUAACAUAUCCAGUGUAAUCCCACUUGUCGGUGGUUUUAUUACAAAAAAAACAAAGAGAUUUGAUUGUGAUUGCAUACAGAUGCCUGUUCAUUUUGUUGAGAAGGUAUCCUAUUAAUGAUUUUAAGUUUUUUAGCAGCCCACCAGCAAGUACAAGUUGGCAUUGGACUCAUGCAUUAUAAAAGAAUCUAUGUUUUCACCUAGACUACAUGUAACUCGAGACACUUCAGAAGCUCAGAUACUCAUACAACUGCAAAAUUUCAAAACAUUUCCCAAUGGCUGAGAACUACACAACAAAAAGAAAUGGCCAAAUAAGUGUUCAAGAUGCACAAGUGGCUGUGGUUAUGGUGCCACUUUCAGCACAAGGCCAUCUCAACCAGCUUCUCCACCUCUCGAGGCUCAUCACCUCGUAUAAUAUCCCAGUCCAUUAUGUUGGAGCAACCACUCAUAUUCGCCAGGCUAAGUUUCGUGUCCAUGGUUUCGACCCUGGCACAGCUAAAAACCUAUAUUUUCAUGAAUUCCCUACACCACCUUUCGAAAAUCCUCCUCCAAAUCCUAAUGCUUCAAAUAAAUUUCCUAACCAAUUAAUCCCUUCAUUUUAUGCAACAAUCCAUCUCCGUGAGCCAGUGUGCUCUCUUGUACGCCAACUACUAGGCGUCAAUCAUCGGAGAGUGAUUGUUAUUUAUGAUUCUAUGAUGAGUUGGGUAGUAGAGGAUGUACCAGCAAUUCCAAAUGCUGAGUGCUACCGUUUUAAUAGUAUCUCAGCUUUCCAUACGUUUUCAUGCAUCUGGGAAUCCAGAGGGAAACCUUUACAAGCUGGAACUGAAAUAUUCGAGGACAUUUCAUCAAACGAAAACUGUGCUACCCCAGAGUUAUGGGAAUUAUGGAGUAAACAAAAUUCCCUUGAAGGGAAAAUUAGCUCUGGAGAACUUUACAAUUCAUCCAGAGUAAUAGAAGGUUUAUACCUUGAUUUAGUAGCCAAAGAAAUUAAUGGCUUAAACCUACGGGCUAUUGGUCCAUUCAAUCCGUUGUUGCUGACUGAGCAGGACAAUGAUUCAAAUAAACGUCACAAAACCUUGGAUUGGCUUGACAAACAAGAACCGGACUCAGUGAUAUAUGUGUCUUUUGGAACAUCUACUUCUUUGUCGAAUGAAGAAAUUGAACAACUCGCCAUUGGGUUAGAGAAAAGCCUGCAAAAGUUCAUUUGGGUUCUCAGAGAUGCUGACAAAGGAGAUGUUUUUGCAGGUGAAGAAAGGAGAGCUCGGCUGCCGGAAGGUUAUGAAGAAAGAAUAAAAGGAAGAGGAAUUAUUGCAAGAGAUUGGGCACCUCAGUUGGAAAUUUUGGCACAUCCUUCCACAGGUGGUUUUAUGAGUCAUUGCGGAUGGAAUUCGUGCAUGGAAAGCAUUUCCAUGGGAGUUCCUAUAGCAGCCUGGCCAAUGCACUCAGAUCAACCAAGGAAUUCUCAGCUGGUAACAAAGUUCCUGAAAAUUGGCCUAAAUUUGAGACAUGGGGCAUGUCAGGAUGAAUUGGUUACAUCAGAAAUGGUUGAAAAUGCUGUGAGAACUUUGAUGGCUUCACCUGAGGGAGGUGAGAUGAGGAAGAGAGCAUCAGAAUUAAGUGUUGCUGUCAAACAAUCAGUCAUGGAUGGGGAAGGUACUGGUACAGAGAUGGAUUCUUUUAUCACACACAUUACUCGAUAACUUCUCAUUUGUAUUGAACAAUUGGUUGCACACUACCAUCUAGUUAACAUAAGUGAUACAACCUAUGACACUGUAUCAAUGCUCUAUCACCAUCCGAGUGGGUUCAGUGUCCACCCUACUGGCACCCCUUUAUGCACAUCACGGCAUGUAUGUUGAGGAUAAAAACCUUUCCUUUAUGAGUUCUUUGUAUUUGUUAAUAUAAAAGUGGAUGUCCUCCCAGAUAAAUAAAAUAUUGGAUGCUGUUUGUGAAUUCUUACAAGAAUUUUGUGCUUGUGACCUGAAUAACAUAGUAUGUUCUUUCAGGACUUUUAUAGCUUCUUGUCUUUAACUCUGUGACCUUGUAUUUGAUAUUCUGCCAGACUUCUCAUGUUGGUAGGAGUAGACAAUCUUUUUAAGUGUACUUUACAAUAUUUUCUCAACAUUUAUAGAAUACUCUUUUUUGCAUCAAGACAAAUACGGAAGAGCUCUGGUAUUCUAUGAAGUUUUUCAAUUAAAAUAUGAAUCACUUUGUAACUAUACUAACUUUUAACCUUAGCAACACUUUUUCAAAUCUUACGAUGAGUGAUCCAUGAAGCUGUCAGAAAAUCAGAAGAGUUUGACACAAGGUAGCUCUGCUUGUAUCUAUUUUUAUCUGAAGAUGCUUAUUUCAGAUUUAUUAAGUGGUCAAAUUAGUGGGUGACUGAGGAAGGUCUUUGAUUCCUUGACCAACUAAGAUUGCUAAGCAUUUUUUAAUCUUUUGUGUCUUACCCUCUAAAACGAAGCUAAAUUACAGGAAAAUACUACAUAAUGAAGUCUAUUAUGACUGCUCCUUGACUAAAGUUUGCUCCAUUAUGUAAUACUCCUACUAUAUUGUCCUACGAUAAAAGAAUCUGAAGAUAGCAGUGUUUAUAAGAACCACAAAACUAAUAUUGAUAUUUCUUUGAUUCUUGCACUUGAAAUAAACAUAUAUUUGAUUUUUACAAUUAUGAUGAUGAGGAUGUAAAUUCGACUGAGAUUACAAUGACAACUAUCUCAGUAUCUUUAAUACUUACGUGGGUGUAUACUUUUUUUUUCUUCAAAUAAUAUUUUUAUGGUCUGCCUUUGCUGUUGGUUUUUCCUCCAUUUUGUAUAAAACUCAACCAGUUGCUGUUGGUUUUACUGAUAGACAACAAAGGAUUUGAUUGUGACUACUUUAAGUAAUACAUUUUGCAGCAAUAUGUCAAAUAACAGAAGUUAAAAAAUUUCAAUAUCUUUUUAACAAUUAAGCUUUCUAGCAGCCGGCCAGAUAAUUCUAGUUGUUGGAUUCAUGCAUUAGACAUAAUCCUUAUAAGAUCAUCUAUGUUUUUCUCCUACAUAUAACUCAAGGCACUUCAGAAACGGCAGACACUCAUCAAACUACAAAAUUUCUAAGCAUUUCCCAAUGGCCGAGAACUACCCCAUAAAAAGCGAUGGCAAAAAGGGUGUUCAGGAUGCACAAGUGGCAGUGGUUAUGGUGCCACUUUCAGCACAAGGCCAUCUCAACCAGCUUCUCCACCUCUCGAGGCUCAUCACCUCGUAUAAUAUCCCAGUCCAUUAUGUUGGAGCAACCACUCAUAUUCGCCAGGCUAAGUUUCGUGUCCAUGGCUUCGAUCCUGUCACAGCUAAAAAUCUAUAUUUUCAUGAAUUCCCUACACCACCUUUUGAAAAUCCCCCUCCAAAUCCUAAUGCUUCAAAUAAAUUUCCUAACCAAUUAAUCCCUUCAUUUUAUGCAACAAUCCAUCUCCGUGAGCCAGUGUGCUCUCUUGUACGCCAACUACUAGGCGUCAAUCAUCGGAGAGUGAUUGUUAUUUAUGAUUCUAUGAUGAGUUGGGUAGUAGAGGAUGUGCCAGCAAUUCCAAAUGCUGAGUGCUACUGUUUUAAUAGUAUCUCAGCUUUCCAUACGUUUUCAUGCAUCUGGGAAUCCAGAGGAAAACCUUUACAAGCUGGAACAGAAAUAUUUGAGGGCAUUUCAUCAAACAAAAACUGUGCUACCCCAGAGUUAUGGGAAUUAUGGAGGAAACAAGAAGCCCUAAUGAGGAAAGUUAGCUCCGGAGAACUUUACAAUUCAUCUAGAGUAAUUGAAGGUUUAUACCUUGAUUUAGUAGCCAAAGAAAAUGAUGGACUAAACCAAUGGGCUCUUGGUCCAUUCAAUCCGUUGUUGUCUGAGCAGAACAAAAACUCAAAUAAACACCAUCAAACCCUGUAUUGGCUUGACAAACAAGAAACAAACUCGGUAAUAUAUGUGUCUUUUGGAACAACUACUUCCUUGUCGAAUGAAGAAAUUGAAGAACUCGCUGUUGGAUUAGAGAAAAGUAUGCAAAAGUUCAUUUGGGUCCUCAGAGAUGCUGACAAAGGAGAUGUGUUUGCAGGUGAAGAAAGGAGAGCUCAAUUGCCUGAUGGUUAUGAAGAGAGGCUAAAAGGAAGAGGAAUUAUUGUAAGAGAUUGGGCACCUCAGUUGGAAAUUUUGGCACAUCCUUCCACAGGUGGUUUUAUGAGUCAUUGCGGAUGGAAUUCGUGCAUGGAAAGCAUUUCUAUGGGAGUUCCUAUAGCAGCUUGGCCAAUGCAUUCAGAUCAACCAAGGAAUUCUCAGUUAGUAACUAAGUUCCUAAAAAUCGGCCUAAUUGUGAGGCAUUGGGCAUGUCGAGAUGAAUUGGUUACAUCAGAAAUAGUUGAAAAUGCUGUAAGAACUUUGAUGGCUUCACCUGAGGGAGAUGAAAUGAGGAAGAGAGCAUCAGAAUUAAGUAAUGUUGUCAAACAAUCAGUGGUGGAUGGGGGUGUUAACCGUGAGGAGAUGGAUUCUUUUAUCACUCACAUUACUCGAUAAGUUUCCCAUCUAGAUUAAUUUCAUCAAUGGUCAUCGAACUAAGCAUUUAUUGCAUGAAAGUGUGGCUUUGAUGAAGUCAGUUAUGAAAAAUUGGUAAUUCAAUCAUAUUUAGAGGACACUAAUGUAUUUUUCUUUAUAUUUUACUUUCUUCAUUUUGUCUAUGUUCCACCAAAAUCAUAGCUUAUACUUCAACAACCAUCUUUCUCUCUCUCUCUCUGUUUCUCUCUUUGUUGUAGGGUGGCGUCUGGUUGAGUGAGGACUAAUAUAUGUGUAAUAUUAGUUAUCCGUGAAACACAUAAUUUUACUUGUAUUUUUCCUUUACUAAAAUUUUAAAGAGUUUAUUAGCAGGAUAAUAAACUACAACAACAUGGCCGGCCACUAGCUAGGCCAAUAUCCCUGUGAAUCAAAUAUGUGAGAAAUGAGGCAUUCCUCUGUUCUCCUUAACAUUAACUUCAUAGAUCCAAAAUAUACGUAUACUGUAAUAUGUAGUAACAGUUACUCCUUGUUUCAUUUCUCUACGAGGUCCAACUUGAUAUAUUUUGUUGUGAAUCAAGUCGACUUUGUACGGGCUUAUGUGUUAGAAGUAGCGAAUGAGGUUGAUUUGGAUGGGAUAAUUGGGCCGCGUAAAAUAUUAGAGAGUUUUUUUUGGGAUUCAGGCCCAAUUAUCAAUUGGUUAAAUAGGAAUAGGAGUUAGACAAAAAGGUUAUGUGUAUUAUGAAGAAACUGUCUUUUCCUCUCAUUUUCUUUCUAGAGUCUUAACUUCUCAUCCUCAUUCUUAUGUCUAUCUUUAGUUACUUGUUAUUUCAGUACUUCUCUUUGUAAAUCAAGUGUUGUUAUUAUAAUUUGGUUAUCAAUGGAUAUAAGGUUUAUGUAUCUGUAUUGAGAAUUUGGGUUUGUUUCAUAUUCGUUUUUCUUACUCACCAAAGAGCCCAAGUUCAAAUCUUGGCACAUUCUUUUGUCUUUUAUUGAUUUCUCGGUCUUCUAUGCGACUAGCCAAGUAGUCAUAUUCAUUCCUGUUGACACGAAUAGCAACGAAAGAGAAGGAAAUGACAUUUACAGAAGUUGAUUCACAGUUGAAUACUUCAAUCCCAUCAGCUAAUCUAAGCAAGAACCUGGAACUAAAGGAGGAUCUUUAUCCAGCAG